GGAAUUUUUGACAAUGGGGGCAACCCUGAUCAAGCAACGCCGCGUGGAGGACGAAGACCCUCGGGUCGUAAACUCCUGUCGGAGGGGACGAAAGCGGUCGUGGUUAAUCCCUGCAGCCGUUGCCGGUACCCUACGAGGAAGCCCCGGCUAACUCCGUGCCCGCAGCCGCGGUAAUACGGGGGGGGCAAGCGUUGUUCGGAAUUACUGGGCGUAAAGGGCGCGCAGGCGGCCUGGCAAGGCCUUCGUGAAAUCCCACAGCUCAACUGUGGAAUUGCGUGGGAUACUGCCAGGCUUGAGUCCGGGAGAGGAGAGUGGAAUUCCCAGUGUAGCGGUGAAAUGCGUAGAUAUUGGGAGGAACACCGGUGGCGAAGGCGGCUCUCUGGACCGGCACUGACGCUGAGGCGCGAAAGCUAGGGGAGCAAAC
This 424-nucleotide ribosomal RNA is filed under the name uncultured bacterium. RNAcentral's name for it is "bacterial SSU rRNA". It matches the Rfam family "Bacterial small subunit ribosomal RNA", at positions 358 to 773 of the family's 1533-position model. The record is from RNAcentral.